Long non-coding RNA from Aegilops tauschii subsp. strangulata, 3086 nucleotides. RefSeq lists it as uncharacterized. Lineage: Eukaryota; Viridiplantae; Streptophyta; Magnoliopsida; Poales; Poaceae. The record is from RefSeq and is a predicted model, not a curated record.
UGGAGACCGACAGUUGUUUGGACCAGAUCUAUCUAUACCUAUACCUACCUAUACUAAUUACAGACUCCCAAGAAAUUACCAUAUUAAUCAGUAAUUAUGAGCCGUUAAUCUGAUGGGACCAGAUUAUUACGGUGUAGAUUGAGUUAAUUUUUGCUCCGUUGCAAAAAAAAUCCGAAGCCCACAAUUUUUGCAUCGGCUGAAAAAAUGAAUCCAUCUAAAACACGAUUAGUAAUCCAUCGAUUAUUCCCUCCCAUAACUGAAGCAAAUCUUUAAAUUAAAAAAAACUAAAGCAAUCUUUAUCUCUUUCACGACAAAAAAAACUCUACAUGCUCAUAAUACUAUAGCCGUCUCCUUCCAUAAAAACCAAAAGAAAAAAUCAGUAGCGUCUUUCCUUCGGCCCCGAGCAGCCGCGCCGCCGAAGCUUGGGCACCCUGCCGCCACAUCGACUCCUCCGCCGUCCGCCGUCCGGUGCGACGCCGGAGCAUCCGUCGCAUGCCGGCGAGCUCACCAUCAAGCAGCAGCAGCCGCGCCGCCCUCCAACUUUGCCUUUUCCCCGUCCUUUCCUGCUCCUCUCUCACCUCUCUGUGCCUCGCCUCCACAGGGACAACGGGACGCCGCCGGCACGCGGAAUGAUGCCGCCCCAACUGGAUCCACACCCUCCUCCAUCGCCUGCUCUCUAUCGUCCGUCCUCGCCUCGAAUCGGUCGUGCCGGCAGCCGUCGUUGCCAGAUCCUCGCGUCGCCGCCCGCUGAAAGAUCCAGCCUCUCACCGUCGAGGGAGGUAGGAACGACGGAGCCGUGCAUGUGUCGGCGCCCAUGUGGUGCGUGCGGAUCCACCGCCUUGCGGAGCGGCUGCAGGCCUGCAGCGCGCCCUGCCUCAAACAACACGCAUGGGCGACGGCUGAGACGUCAGAGGAGCUUCAGCAGGAUGUGGUGAUCCAAUAGUACUCCUUCCAAUACAACACUAAACUAUGCAAAGUGGCCCUUUCUUUCCCCUGCCCAGUUCCAAUCUUUGAUCCGUCCAUGUCGAGGUAAUGUGUACAGAGAACGAGGCUGCCGAGCCAAAUUUGUUGAACGAGGCUGUCAAGUUUGAGGCCGAUGGCGCAUCUAUUCACACCAUGGACAUUCAUCGCCUGCUACUCAUGCGCCCACUCUGAAGGCAAGCAAGUAUGUAUCUUAAGUACCAUGCUGCAGUUAAGAUUUAAUCAUAUUAAUAUUAUCUCUGAUAUCGUGGACACAACAUAGAUUUCACAAGCAAAACUAUAUCAAGCUAGAUUUGUUGCACCUGCACUGCAUGUUGAUGAAUUAGGCUCAACUAAUUUUGCGUUUUUCCAUCAUGUUGAAAGUUGUCCCUGAUGUACGUACAUUAUUAGCUAUCAUGGAAACGACAAAUAGCUGAUGUUUGGUAGUAAUAGUUACUUCAUGGUAUGUUGCAUAUUCCUCUAAAUUUGUGAGAUUUGAGAUAGUAGAAACAACACAUCGUGAUCUUCAGCCCUUGCCUGAUGCUUCAUUAUUUUAGGACCAUGCAAUAAAAUGGAUUUAAUUUCCAGUCUAAGUAGGAUUAUUAGUCAUUUGAUGUGGAAAGUUUUAGGAUUUUAGUAUAUGUUUAGUUACGCUCUUACAGUUUAUGCAAGCGAAUUAACAGAAAGAAAUUGCAUGAACUAUUCUUUUAUUUCAUAAAUGUACAACUAUUUUUCUAUUGCGAAAAAAAACAUUCCUGGCCCCAAGCGAGCCAGCACACAAAUAAGACUGACUCCAAGCUUUUUUCAGAACUGAGUUAGUUUUCUUAUCCGUAAGAGUAUCUUAGGUUUUAAGUGACAAUCUUUAAACUCUCUCUGCUUUAUUAAUUUACUUUUUUAUAAAUACCACGAAGAUCAAAAUUUGAAGAAUUAAACCAAUAAGUGUAUUUAGUGAAGUCAGAGGUCUGUUUGGAAUAUUCUUAGUGCAAGUCUGACAUGAAAGGACGGCUGUUUUUUUUCCAUGGCUGAAUGGUGCUUCAUGAAGCAACAGUCAUAUUAUCAAUCGAAGUUGAAGCCUCUGUCUAAUCUCCUUUUGUUGUAAAACAUUAUUUUGUAAUAUUCUUAACUUAAUUAAUGACCACUUCUAUUAUGCUACCAUUUUAUGCGCACCAUGUUUUUAGAUGCAAUGGCCCACUAGAAACAGUUUACUAUACAUCAAUUUCUGUUAAAGUUAGAAGGACGUCCCUACUAUUUGUAAUUUUAUACACCAUACAUGUAUGAAGUUUCUUAUUUCUUAUUUAACUCUUCUGUAGAAGAUGUUAUUCCUAAAGGUUGUUGCUGACACAUAAAAAGCUCCUUAGUGAUAUGAUCCUCUCCAGCACAUCGCUUGAUGGAUCCAGAGGAGCAACCAUCAGCUUAUGAAAAAGGGCAAAUAAAUUGCCUGCUAUUGUUCCUUACCAAGAGUAAUUUCACCAGUGCCUAACUUAAAAUUUGAUCUGUUGCAUCAUGAUAAGAUCUCCAUGAUGUGCAUAGGCAUGAUUAUUUUUACAUUGAAUCGGUUUUCCUAUCUUACAUCCAUGCAUUCACAUAUUAGAAGGUAAAUAUGUUCCAGGCUCUUAUCUACUUGCAUGAAUGUGAACUCUGUAUCCAAUGGUAAAGCAGGCCUUAUCAGGUGACAUGGGCGAGACCUUUCCACAUAUAUGCUUCAUUAGAUAUCACAGUAUAUAUUUUGCCAGCAUCUUUGUAUUAUUGAUGCACAAUAUAUUUCUAUUCUAAAUUCUUGACUUCAUCAAAUUUAUAUUGUAGGAAAAAGGAUCAUGGAAUAGCACGCGAGGUGUAUAUUGUUGUUAGCAUCUGCCUAUUUUGAUGCAUUGUAUUUGCAUACAUGUACCAAGAUUUUUGUGAAAUAUACAUUUUCCAGGAGAAUGGAUGAUCGAGUAGCACUCAAGAUGGCAAGGUGGUUGAGAUUUACGAACUGGUGUAUCUUGAGGACUCAUGAUGUAUUUGUGCGUCGAUACAUGUAGAUUUAUGACUAUUUCCAUAUCAUCCACUGUAUCUAUCUAUGUCUCCUUAACUUCAACAUAUUUACCUUGAAUAAUUAUGGUUUAAUACAGGUUCUUUCUCUAUUA